This 951-nucleotide non-coding RNA is filed under the name Globisporangium ultimum DAOM BR144. RNAcentral's name for it is "Pythium ultimum DAOM BR144 Bacterial small subunit ribosomal RNA". It matches the Rfam family "Bacterial small subunit ribosomal RNA", at positions 593 to 1533 of the family's 1533-position model. The record is from Rfam by way of RNAcentral. Lineage: Eukaryota; Oomycota; Peronosporomycetes; Pythiales; Pythiaceae.
UGAAAAACAAUUAAGCUCACUUAUAAUUUUCAAACUGAAAACUGAGUAUAAUAGAGAUAUGAAUUCUUUGAGGAUAAAUACGUGAUAUAGAGAAGAUCAAAGCGAAGGCAAUAUCUGGUAUAUACUGACACUGAGAAACGAAAGCUUGGGUAGCGAACGGGAUUAGAGACCCCGGUAGUCCAUGCUGUAAACGAUGAGUGCUCAUAUUUAGAAUUUUUAGAUAUCAAGCUAACGCGUUAAGCACUCCGCGUGAAAAGUAUAAUCGCAAGAUUGAAAUUCAAAGGAAUUGACGGGAGUCUACACAAGCGGUGGAGCAUGUGGUUUAAUUCGAUAAUACGCGCAGAACCUUACCAACUCUUGCAAAUUAGAUUAAAAAAUUAAAUUUAAUCUAAACAGGCGUUGCAUGGCUGUCGUCAGCUCGUGUUGUGAAAUGUUUGGUUAAAUCCUUUAACGAGCGCAACCCCUAUUAUUAGUUGCUAAUUUAUUUAAAUAAAUAAAAGCACUCUAAUAAAAAUGUCAAUGAUAGGUUGAAGGAAGGUAGGGAUGACGUCAAGUCUUCAUGGCCCUUAUGAGUUGGGCUACACACGUGCUACAAUGAUAAUUACAAUGAGAGGCAAUAAUGAUUAAAAAUUGGAGCAAAUCUUUAAAGAUUAUCUUAGUUCGGAUUAUGGGCUGAAACUCGCCCAUAUGAAGCUGGAAUCGCUAGUAAUCGCAGAACAGCAUGCUGCGGUGAAUAUGUUACUAGACUUUGUACACACCGCCCGUCACAUCAAGGAAGUUAAAUAUUUUUAAAAUGAUUUUUAGUUAUUUUAUUUUAAUAAAUAAUUAUUUAAUUUUAAUAAUUUAUAUUUAAGAUUUUAUAAUAUAUAAGUUCCUAAAAAGUAUUUAGUAACUUUGAUGAAGUCGUAACAAGGUAGUCGUAGGGGAACCUGUGGCUGGAAGAGCUCUUUA